Molecule: long non-coding RNA, 611 nt
Filed under: Rattus norvegicus (Norway rat)
Lineage: Eukaryota; Metazoa; Chordata; Mammalia; Rodentia; Muridae
Description: long non-coding RNA NONRATT006829
Source: RNAcentral
GGUAGGCACGAGUAAUAUAUAAUCACACCCCACACACAGAAAUGCAGACUGUGUUAAGUAGGUCCCUGUAUUGGAUUAAGAAUGUACUUUAUUGCUGCUUCUGACCAAAGGACAAUGGUGGUGGUUGCCCACCUUCGGGUUGAAAGCCUCGAAAAUUAUUUUUGUAGUUCUGCUAAAUCCAUGUAAGUGUGAGCGCCCAGCUCCUCUGCCCAUAGAUUGGAGAAGUGAAAAGCAAGAGCUGGUGGAAAAGGUCACACUUCAGUCAGAGCUGUGGCUCUUGGCUAUGAACAGAGGUCCAACCAGGCUCUCUUCUGCUUUCCUUCUCCCUAUGCACAUGGAUGAGUGGAAACUCUUCCAACCCAGGAAGCUCAGCUCAACUUCUGCCUCCUGGUCCAGCUGCUCCAGAAACAAGUCCAUUGAGGAUCCUGGCCACAAGAUGCUCUGUCGCUUUAAAGGGAAAUCUAAAAGGGGAAUCUAUCACAACAAAAACUUUCAAGAAUCCACAAAUACAGAUCUGUUUGACUCUAGACCUCAUUCCUCCAAAAUCUGGUUUAGGAUACCCUUAAAGACUGUUAGAAAGAAAUGCCAGGAUGAAAUUUUAGAAAUGAAAG